CAUUUAUUGCUUUUGAGACACGGCGGGACAUGUGAACCCCCCCCCCCCCCUUUCCACCCUGUUUUUUUUUUUACAAAUAUCACUAAAAUAUAAUUUUGAAUCAAACCAAAAAGUAUAAGGAUCUUUAGAUUAAUAUAACAAAGAAGUGUGUACAGUUUCAAGCAAUAAUCAUAAAUUGUUUUUGCGAUACGGCGCGACAUGUAAAAAAAAAUCUCCCCUUUUUUACAAAAUACUCAAUAACUCAAAAAUAAAAUUUUGAGUCAUCACCAAAAAGUAUACAGAUCUUUAGAUUAAUAUAACAAAGAAGUGUGUAAAGUUUUAAGCAAUAAUCAUAAAUCGUUUUUGAGAUACGGCACGACAUGUAUCUUUUGCUCUUUGCACGUUAAGAACCCUUGCAACAACUCUUUGAGGGGUCCGUAGGUGGCCUGUUGCAAGGCAAAAUUUUGGUCCCUAUCCAAUAUAUCCUCAUUUUCUAGUGGCAGUCCAAAUUUCCCCGACCAUCAUCCCAGAUGGCCUUUAUUGUAUCAACCUACCUUCUGUAUUUAUUGUGAACUUGUUCUCGUCCUGAAUAUGCAAGAAAUAUUUGCCACUGGACGUUAAGCAACCAACAAUCAAUCAAUCAAUAAAUCAUUUUUGAGAUACGGCGCAACAUGUAAAAAACCCUCCCCCUAUUUUACAAAAUACUCAAUAACUUAAAAAUGAAAUUUUGAAUCAUCACCAAAAAGUAUACAGAUAUUAAGAUUAAUAUAACUAAGAAGUGUUUAAAGUUCUAAGCAAUAAUCAAGAAUCGUUUUUGAGAUACGGUGCGACAUGUGAAAAAAAACCACACCCCUGUUUUAGUGACAAAGUGCCGUAACUCAAAAAGUUUAAAUCUUAUUUUCACCAAAAAGUAUACAGAUCAUUUGACCAUCAUAAAAAACAACUAUAUUAAGUUUCAUGAAAUUUAGAUAAGUCGUUCUCAAGUUACGGUGCGACAUGUUUACGCCGGACAGACAGACGGACGGACGGACGGACACCGGACAUUUGUAUAGCAUAAUACGUCCCGUCAAAAUUUUGACGGGCGUAUAAAAAUUAUUAAUAUACCGAUGGC
Molecule: long non-coding RNA, 1090 nt
Filed under: Mytilus galloprovincialis (Mediterranean mussel)
Lineage: Eukaryota; Metazoa; Mollusca; Bivalvia; Mytilida; Mytilidae
Source: RNAcentral